This 1375-nucleotide ribosomal RNA is filed under the name Grapholita delineana. RNAcentral's name for it is "16S ribosomal RNA". The record is from RNAcentral. Lineage: Eukaryota; Metazoa; Arthropoda; Insecta; Lepidoptera; Tortricidae.
UGGGGGAAAAUUAGUAUAUAAAAUUAUAAUAAAAAUAAUUUUAAUAAAAUAUGAUGGGGUUAAAGUAUUUUAUAAAGAAAAAAUUGUUUAAUUUAUAAAGAAUUAGUAUUGUGAAAGAAAUUUGAAAUAUUUGAAAAUUAAUUAAUUUAAUAGUAAAUUUUAAUUAUUGUAUCUUGUGUAUCAGAGUUUAUUAAUAAAGAUUUUUAUAAAAAAAAAAUUCUCGAAUUUGAAAGAGUUAAUUAGUUAAAAAAAUUAUUGUUGCAAAAAUAUUUUUCAUAAUUAAUUAGAAAUGAAAUGUUAAUCGUUUUUAAAUAUAUCUAGUUUUUUUAGAAAAAAAUUUAAUUUUAAAUUAUUUUAAUUAAAAAUUUAAAUAAUAAAAUUUUUAAAAAAUUAAAUUUAAUAUUUUAAGGGAUAAGCUUUAAUUUAAAUUUUUAUAAUAGUUUUUUUUUUAUUAAUUGAAAAUUUUAAAAUUUAUAUUGUUUAAAAAUUAUAAUUUUUUAUAAAUAAUUUCAAAAUAAAAUAAAAUUUAAAAAAUUAAAUUUAAAUUUUUAUAAAAUAAGUAAAAUUUAAUAUUAUAAUUUUAGUUACAAUGAUAAAAUUAGUAUAUGAAUAUAUAAUAUAAAAAUUAUUAAAUAUGAAUUAGUGGAAAAUUAAUUAUAAGGAAUUCGGCAAAUUUUUAUAUUCACUUGUUUAUCAAAAACAUGUCUUUUUGAAAUAAUUUAAAGUCUAAUCUGCCCACUGAUAAAAAUUAAAGGGCUGCAGUAUUUUGACUGUACAAAGGUAGCAUAAUCAUUAGUCUCUUAAUUGGUGACUUGUAUGAAAGAUUGGAUGAGAUAUAAACUGUCUUAUUAUUAUUAAUAAAAUUUAAUUUUUUAGUUAAAAAGCUAAAAUAUUUUUAAAAGACGAGAAGACCCUAUAGAGUUUUAUAUUAAAGUUAAUUAUAAAUUUUUAUAUUAAUGUUAAGUUUGAAUUAAUUUUAAUAUUUUGUUGGGGUGAUAAAAAAAUAAAAUUAACUUUUUUUUUAUUAUAUAUAUAUAUAUAUAUAUAUAUAUAACAUUAAUUAAUGAAUAAAUGAUCCAUAAAUUAUGAUUAAAAGAUUAAAUUACCUUAGGGAUAACAGCGUAAUUUUUUUUUUUAGUUCAAAUAAAAAAGAAAGUUUGCGACCUCGAUGUUGGAUUAAGAUAAAAUUUAAAUGCAAAAGUUUAAAAUUUUGAUCUGUUCGAUCAUUAAAAUCUUACAUGAUCUGAGUUCAAACCGGUGUAAGCCAGGUUGGUUUCUAUCUUUAUAUACAUUAAAUAUUUUAGUACGAAAGGAUCAAAUAUUUAAAAUAAUUUUAUUUUAUAAGGAUAUUAUUAAAUGUGUUUGUUUAAAUUAA